UGAAUUGCAGAAUCCCGUGAACCAUCGAGUCUUUGAACGCAAGUUGCGCCCGAAGCCGUUAGGUUGAAGGCACGUCUGCCUGGGCGUCACGC
RNAcentral lists this ribosomal RNA (92 nucleotides) under Dimorphanthera elegantissima. RNAcentral describes it as "partial 5.8S ribosomal RNA". It matches the Rfam family "5.8S ribosomal RNA", at positions 68 to 154 of the family's 154-position model. Rfam says of the family: 5.8S ribosomal RNA (5.8S rRNA) is a component of the large subunit of the eukaryotic ribosome. It is transcribed by RNA polymerase I as part of the 45S precursor that also contains 18S and 28S rRNA. Functionally, it is thought that 5.8S rRNA may be involved in ribosome translocation. Lineage: Eukaryota; Viridiplantae; Streptophyta; Magnoliopsida; Ericales; Ericaceae. The record is from RNAcentral.